This is a non-coding RNA of Aegilops tauschii subsp. strangulata, 323 nucleotides long. NCBI's taxonomy places the organism in Eukaryota, Viridiplantae, Streptophyta, Magnoliopsida, Poales, Poaceae. The record is from RefSeq and is a predicted model, not a curated record.
AGUGUUUAAUGAAUUUACUCUUCUCCAUGGCGCGUCCAUGAGGGCAGAAAUUUCAUGCUUCAAAUCUGCUUGGCGAGAACCUUUUCAGGCCUGGAGAUGUCCUUGUGAACUGGUCAGUGAUUUUCGGAAAGUGGAGCUGCAUUCAAGGUUUGAGAUAUAGUUUAUGUCGACUGGAUGAGUUGUUUGAUCUCUUUGCCCUGUUCUUCGAGAUGGGUUGCGAUGAAAACUCUUGGGGCCAUGAGCAACACUUGAGGCUCCUCUUCAUAAGCACAAAAGCUGCAGCAAGCAGAAAUUGGAGAGUUGAAGAGCUUUGUACAGAACCG